AUUGAACGCUGGCGGCAUGCUUUACACAUGCAAGUCGAACGGCAGCACGGGUGCUUGCACCUGGUGGCGAGUGGCGGACGGGUGAGUAAUACAUCGGAACGUGUCCAGAAGAGGGGGAUAACGCAUCGAAAGAUGUGCUAAUACCGCAUAUGCUCUGAGGAGGAAAGUAGGGGAUCGAAAGACCUUACGCUUUUGGAGCGGCCGAUGUCUGAUUAGCUAGUUGGUGGGGUAAGGGCCUACCAAGGCGACGAUCAGUAGUUGGUCUGAGAGGACGACCAGUCACACUGGGACUGAGACACGGCCCAGACUCCUACGGGAGGCAGCAGUGGGGAAUUUUGGACAAUGGCGCAAGCCUGAUCCAGCAAUGCCGCGUGA
Molecule: ribosomal RNA, 375 nt
Filed under: uncultured bacterium
Lineage: Bacteria
Description: bacterial SSU rRNA
Rfam family: Bacterial small subunit ribosomal RNA
Source: RNAcentral